RNAcentral lists this transfer RNA (72 nucleotides) under Microbotryum lychnidis-dioicae. Its description in RNAcentral is "tRNA-Phe". It matches the Rfam family "tRNA". From Rfam's summary of the family: Transfer RNA (tRNA) molecules are approximately 80 nucleotides in length. Their secondary structure includes four short double-helical elements and three loops (D, anti-codon, and T loops). The record is from RNAcentral. RNAcentral also lists the same sequence under 2 other names. Lineage: Eukaryota; Fungi; Basidiomycota; Microbotryomycetes; Microbotryales; Microbotryaceae.
GCCUUAGUAGCAUAAAGGUAAUGCACUUGAUUGAAGAUCUCGGUAUUUAAAGUUCGAUUCUUUUCUAAGGCA